This 73-nucleotide transfer RNA is filed under the name Zootermopsis nevadensis. It matches the Rfam family "tRNA". From Rfam's summary of the family: Transfer RNA (tRNA) molecules are approximately 80 nucleotides in length. Their secondary structure includes four short double-helical elements and three loops (D, anti-codon, and T loops). Further hydrogen bonds mediate the characteristic L-shaped molecular structure. tRNAs have two regions of fundamental functional importance: the anti-codon, which is responsible for specific mRNA codon recognition, and the 3' end, to which the tRNAs corresponding amino acid is attached (by aminoacyl-tRNA synthetases). tRNAs cope with the degeneracy of the genetic code in two manners: having more than one tRNA (with a specific anti-codon) for a particular amino acid; and 'wobble' base-pairing, i.e. permitting non-standard base-pairing at the 3rd anti-codon position. Lineage: Eukaryota; Metazoa; Arthropoda; Insecta; Blattodea; Termopsidae. The record is from Rfam by way of RNAcentral.
GCCACGGGGGUCUAGCGGUCAGAACACUAGCCUUGUAAGCCUGGGGUCCCGGGUUCAAUUCCCGGUGGUGCUC